GUGAUGACGGUUGGGAAUGAAACAGAAGAGCUGAGCAGCAGUUGUUGGGCUCCGUGCCCACAUAACCACCCCGAGAAUGAAGGGGAGAAAAAAUUGACAGGCAUUAAUUGUUAAGAAGGAACUGCAGUCCCACUAAACACCACAAGAAUCCAGCCAGGCAAAUAAACCGGGGGAAAUGCUCGCUCUCCACAGGACAAAGGGUGAUAUCCUUAACAGGAAAAGAGCUCCUGCCAAAAGG
Long non-coding RNA from Prionailurus viverrinus (fishing cat), 238 nucleotides. RefSeq lists it as uncharacterized. The record is from RefSeq and is a predicted model, not a curated record. Lineage: Eukaryota; Metazoa; Chordata; Mammalia; Carnivora; Felidae. The transcript is spliced from 3 exons.